RNAcentral lists this transfer RNA (72 nucleotides) under Camelus bactrianus (Bactrian camel). It matches the Rfam family "tRNA". From Rfam's summary of the family: Transfer RNA (tRNA) molecules are approximately 80 nucleotides in length. Their secondary structure includes four short double-helical elements and three loops (D, anti-codon, and T loops). Further hydrogen bonds mediate the characteristic L-shaped molecular structure. tRNAs have two regions of fundamental functional importance: the anti-codon, which is responsible for specific mRNA codon recognition, and the 3' end, to which the tRNAs corresponding amino acid is attached (by aminoacyl-tRNA synthetases). tRNAs cope with the degeneracy of the genetic code in two manners: having more than one tRNA (with a specific anti-codon) for a particular amino acid; and 'wobble' base-pairing, i.e. permitting non-standard base-pairing at the 3rd anti-codon position. Lineage: Eukaryota; Metazoa; Chordata; Mammalia; Artiodactyla; Camelidae. The record is from Rfam by way of RNAcentral. RNAcentral also lists the same sequence under 2 other names.
GGGGGUCUAGCUCAGUGGUAGGGCAUGUGCUUGGCACGCACAAGGUCCUGGGUUCAAUCCUCAGUGCCUCUG